UGCGUAGGCGGGAGAUUAAGUCAGUGGUGAAAUCCUGCAGCUUAACUGUAGAACUGCCAUUGAUACUGGUUUCCUUGAGUAUAGUUGAAGUGGGCGGAAUGUGUAUUGUAGCGGUGAAAUGCUUAGAUAUUACACAGAACACCUAUUGCGAAGGCAGCUCACUAAACUAAUACUGACGCUGAGGCACGAAAGCGUGGGGAGCAAACAGGAUUAGAUACCCUGGUAGUCC
This 229-nucleotide ribosomal RNA is filed under the name uncultured bacterium. RNAcentral's name for it is "partial 16S ribosomal RNA". It matches the Rfam family "Bacterial small subunit ribosomal RNA", at positions 568 to 796 of the family's 1533-position model. The record is from RNAcentral.